CUUGGUGGCAAUAGCAUCGUGGUCCCACCUGAUCCCAUGCCGAACUCAGAAGUGAAACGCGAUCGCGCCGAUGGUAGUGUGGGAGUUCCCAUGUGAGAGUAGGUCACUGCCAAGC
Molecule: ribosomal RNA, 115 nt
Organism: Ferrimonas marina
Lineage: Bacteria; Pseudomonadati; Pseudomonadota; Gammaproteobacteria; Alteromonadales; Ferrimonadaceae
Source: Rfam